Molecule: non-coding RNA, 588 nt
Organism: Manis javanica (Malayan pangolin)
Lineage: Eukaryota; Metazoa; Chordata; Mammalia; Pholidota; Manidae
Source: RefSeq, a predicted model, not a curated record
AGGUCUCCCACUCCAAAGAGCAAACGUAAAUCUAAGGACAAAAAGCGGAAGCGGUCACGAAGUACAACACCAGCUCCCAAGAGCCGCCGGGCCCCUCGUUCAACUUCUGCUGACUCUGCUUCUUCUUCUGAUACGUCUCGCAGUCGGCGCUGCACAGACCAUUCGGAAGACACGGUCCCUGCCCUCUAGGAGCUGACAGGCUAAAGCAACAGGAUGGACAGACAUAUACAUUUCCCCUUCUCUUUUUCUUUUUUUUUUUUGUUAUUUUGUUAUUUUUUGUUUUGUUCUGAUGUAUAUGGACUGCCAGAAUAGUGGGGGUGGUGGUUUGUUCGUGGUGUCUGGGGGAGGAAGGAAUCCUUACCCUGGCUUCCUUAAUCGGGGAAGGCUUCCUGAAGGAGGUGGGCUCAGAGGUCUCGAAGUGCUGCAGCAAAAACUCAUGCAACAGCCUUGACUGGGCAAAGUCCUUCCCCUGCUUCAGGGCGUCGAGGGGAGGGAGAUGCAUCUUCCAGGGAACCAGGCACCACCAACACAGGGCAGCCUAGCAACCUCGAACCUUCUACAAAGCAGCCUAGCAGCCCUUAUGAAGAC